GAAAAGAAACCAACAGGGAUUGCCCUAGUAACGGCGAGUGAAGCGGCAACAGCUCAAAUUUGAAAUCUGGCUUCGGCCCGAGUUGUAAUUUGCAGAGGAUGUUUCUGGCGCGGUGCCUUCCGAGUUCCCUGGAACGGGACGCCACAGAGGGUGAGAGCCCCGUAUGGUUGGACACCAAGCCUGUGUGAAACUCCUUCGACGAGUCGAGUAGUUUGGGAAUGCUGCUCAAAAUGGGAGGUAAAUCUCUUCUAAAGCUAAAUACCGGCCAGAGACCGAUAGCGCACAAGUAGAGUGAUCGAAAGAUGAAAAGCACCUUGAAAAGGGGGUUAAACAGUACGUGAAAUUGUUGAAAGGGAAGCGCUUGUGACCAGACUUGCGCCGGGCGGUUCAUCCGGGGUUCUCCCCGGUGCACUCCGCCCGGUUCAGGCCAGCAUCGGUUCUCGUUGGGGGAUAAGAACGGCAGGAACGUGGCCCUCCUUCGGGUAGGUGUUAUAGVCCGCCGUACGAUACCCUGACGGGGACCGAGGUUCGCGCUCGCAAGGAUGCUGG
Molecule: ribosomal RNA, 549 nt
Filed under: Microthia havanensis
Lineage: Eukaryota; Fungi; Ascomycota; Sordariomycetes; Diaporthales; Cryphonectriaceae
Description: eukaryotic LSU rRNA
Rfam family: Eukaryotic large subunit ribosomal RNA
Source: RNAcentral